Molecule: microRNA precursor, 92 nt
Filed under: Canis lupus familiaris (dog)
Lineage: Eukaryota; Metazoa; Chordata; Mammalia; Carnivora; Canidae
Also listed under: 1 other name
Description: mir-8799 microRNA precursor family
Rfam family: mir-8799 microRNA precursor family
Source: Rfam by way of RNAcentral
UGGGAGUGCAGGAUCAUGGGCUGUGUCUCCCUGGCACCCUGGGAUCUGGGGCCUGUGCUGCUGGAAUCAUGCUCCUGGGGCCGCGGCUCCCA